UUCAAAUUCCUCCAGGUUGUGAAGUUUCGCAACUUUCGCAAAUCUUACUGCACAUCUUGGAUGGAACAAAAGCUGAAGGCCAAGGUGGUGGUUCAGACAUGUUAUUACGAGCUUGGGACAGGACUUGAAAGUCUCUUCUCAACGCUUGAAGUUGAGCACGUUUCACUCGUGAGGGCCAUGAUAUUUUUUCUUCAUUUAAUCCCAAAUGUCCUUGGAAGUAUCUUUGCAAAGAAUAGUUUCAAGGAUAGAAUGAUCAAUGGCUUGAAACAAAUAAUUUUUGGCUUUUAAGUCUUUCAAUUUCAUCACUUCAUACUCUUUUUGUUGUGUCUUUGUAAGAGUUACGUCAUCACUUGGUGUUACCACACCAUCUGCAACAACCUGCCAGAACUUCUUGGAUCGCAAGAGAUUCUCCAUCAACAUGCUCCAAUGAUCAUAAUGACUAUCAAAACGUGAAAUGACUGGUUGAAUAAAAUUUUUAGAAGAUAUUGGGUGUCCGUUUGCUAUAUGUUCCACUUGAGGCAAUAAUGUCUGAGUUCUACGGUAAAAGUGAACGUCUUCUAGGGAAAGUGUUAUCGCUUGCGAACACUCUUCCUAAUGGUGCUAUUAUAUUUCUGGAUGAGAUUGAUUCUUUUGCUGCUGCUCGUGACAAUGAAAUGCAUGAAGCUACACGUAGAAUAUUGUCAGUCUUGUUGCGACAGUUUAAUCUUGUUGGUUACUGUUUAAGAUACACAGAAUGGCAUGUUAUAUACCUUUUGUCUAUAGAAAUUGAUUGUGUGCUAGAGUUUUAGAAGUUUUAUUUUAUAGUAAAGAGCUUACAAUGACUUAUUUUCAGCUUGCUAGUUCUUAUUUAGCAUCGUAUGUAUUCUUCAAGAUUAGUUUAUGUAACCAUUC
Long non-coding RNA from Glycine soja, 891 nucleotides. RefSeq lists it as uncharacterized. The record is from RefSeq and is a predicted model, not a curated record. The transcript is spliced from 4 exons. Lineage: Eukaryota; Viridiplantae; Streptophyta; Magnoliopsida; Fabales; Fabaceae.